Molecule: ribosomal RNA, 155 nt
Filed under: uncultured Bacillota bacterium
Lineage: Bacteria; Bacillati; Bacillota
Description: uncultured Firmicutes bacterium partial 16S ribosomal RNA
Rfam family: Bacterial small subunit ribosomal RNA
Source: RNAcentral
CGCAAUGGACGAAAGUCUGACGGAGCAACGCCGCGUGAACGAAGAAGGCCUUCGGGUCGUAAAGUUCUGUUGUUAGGGAGGAACAGGUACCAGAGUAACUGCUGGUACCUUGACGGUACCUAACCAGAAAGCCACGGCUAACUACGUGCCAGCAG